AAAUAUAAACAUGAGGAUGAUGACAAUGAUAUAAGAAUUCAAUAAAACAAGUUCAAGAAUUAAUUUAUCUAGGAACUGAUAACGUCCAAACUGUCAACAUGAUACUGCUUUGUAGAGUAAAAUUCAAGAAUGCUCAGAAGAAUAUUUCCAUGAAAAGAUACUGGAUGAAGCGCAAAUAUCAAGGAUAUUCCACUAAUUUCAUGGAGUA
This 208-nucleotide long non-coding RNA is filed under the name Panax ginseng (ginseng). Its description in RNAcentral is "long non-coding RNA (PGIN_LNC000750)". The record is from RNAcentral. Lineage: Eukaryota; Viridiplantae; Streptophyta; Magnoliopsida; Apiales; Araliaceae.